AAGUUCUUUCAGGUUGGCUUGCAAGUCCUUUGGACUUUGUAUUGGCUAAUAUGUGAGGCUUCUAUGUCUUUACAAACCAGUUAAGCAUGUUUAGAAUGUGUUGUAUUGGGACUUCAUUGACCCAUUAAACUAU
This 133-nucleotide unclassified non-coding RNA is filed under the name Collybiopsis luxurians. RNAcentral's name for it is "partial internal trnascribed spacer 1". The record is from RNAcentral. Lineage: Eukaryota; Fungi; Basidiomycota; Agaricomycetes; Agaricales; Omphalotaceae.